CAUAGCCGCGGUAACACGUAGGGUGCGAGCGUUAAUCGGAAUUACUGGGCGUAAAGCGCACGUAGGCGGCUUGGUAAGUUAGAGGUGAAAGCCCGGAGCUCAACUCCGGAAUUGCCUUUAAGACUGCCGAGCUAGUAGGUGAGAGAGGUAAGUGGAAUUCCGAGUGUAGAGGUGAAAUUCGUAGAUAUUCGGAAGAACACCAGUGGCGAAGGCGGCUUACUGGCUCAUUCUAGACGCUGAGGUGCGAAAGCGUGGGGAGCAAACAGGAUUAGAUACCCCCGUAGUCCCUGUCUCUUAUACA
RNAcentral lists this ribosomal RNA (301 nucleotides) under uncultured bacterium. RNAcentral describes it as "partial 16S ribosomal RNA". It matches the Rfam family "Bacterial small subunit ribosomal RNA", at positions 512 to 808 of the family's 1533-position model. The record is from RNAcentral.